AUUCCAGCUCCAAUAGCGUAUAUUAAAGUUGUUGCAGUUAAAAAGCUCGUAGUUGGAUUUGUGGUGUACUUCGGCGGCCCGUCACUAUGUGAUGGAGCUUGCUGAAGUCGCCAUCCUUGGGUGGAUCCUGUGUGGCAUUAAGUUGUCGUGCAGGGGAUGCCCAUCGUUUACUGUGAAAAAAUUAGAGUGUUCAAAGCAGGCUUAUGCCGUUGAAUAUAUUAGCAUGGAAUAAUAAGAUAGGACCUUGGUACUAUUUUGUUGGUUUGCGCACCAAGGUAAUGAUUAAUAGGGACAGUUGGGGGUAUUCGUAUUUCAUUGUCAGUGGUGAAAUUCUUGGAUUUUUGAAAGACGAACUACUGCGAAAGCAUUUACCAAGGAUGUUUUCAUCG
This 389-nucleotide ribosomal RNA is filed under the name Cylindrotheca sp. RNAcentral's name for it is "partial small subunit ribosomal RNA". It matches the Rfam family "Eukaryotic small subunit ribosomal RNA", at positions 582 to 975 of the family's 1831-position model. Lineage: Eukaryota; Bacillariophyta; Bacillariophyceae; Bacillariales; Bacillariaceae. The record is from RNAcentral.